CCUACGGGUGGCAGCAGUGAGGAAUAUUGGUCAAUGGACGAGAGUCUGAACCAGCCAAGUAGCGUGAAGGAUGACUGCCCUAUGGGUUGUAAACUUCUUUUAUAAAGGAAUAAAACGAGGCACGUGUGCCUUUUUGCAUGUACUUUAUGAAUAAGGAUCGGCUAACUCCGUGCCAGCAGCCGCGGUAAUACGGAGGAUCCGAGCGUUAUCCGGAUUUAUUGGGUUUAAAGGGUGCGCAGGCGGCGUGUCAAGUCAGCGGUAAAAUGUCGGGGCUCAACCCCGGCCGGCCGGUGAAACUGGCGUGCUAGAGUUGGAGAGAAGUAUGCGGAAGUCGUGGUGUAGCGGUGAAAUGCAUAGAUAUCACGAAGAACCCCGAUUGCGAAGGCAGCAUACCGGCUCCACACUGACGCUGAGGCACGAAAGCGUGGGUAUCGAACAGGAUUAGAUACCCCGGUAGUC
This 459-nucleotide ribosomal RNA is filed under the name uncultured bacterium. RNAcentral describes it as "partial 16S ribosomal RNA". It matches the Rfam family "Bacterial small subunit ribosomal RNA", at positions 338 to 795 of the family's 1533-position model. The record is from RNAcentral.